This 497-nucleotide ribosomal RNA is filed under the name uncultured bacterium. RNAcentral describes it as "partial 16S ribosomal RNA". It matches the Rfam family "Bacterial small subunit ribosomal RNA", at positions 28 to 507 of the family's 1533-position model. The record is from RNAcentral.
GACGAACGCUGGCGGCGUGCCUAAUACAUGCAAGUUGAGCGCUGAAGGUUGGUACUUGUACCAACUGGAUGAGCAGCGAACGGGUGAGUAACGCGUGGGGAAUCUGCCUUUGAGCGGGGGACAACAUUUGGAAACGAAUGCUAGUACCGCAUAAAAACUUUAAACACAAGUUUUAAGUUUGAAAGAUGCAAUUGCAUCACUCAAAGAUGAUCCCGCGUUGUAUUAGCUAGUUGGUGAGGUAAAGGCUCACCAAGGCGAUGAUACAUAGCCGACCUGAGAGGGUGAUCGGCCACAUUGGGACUGAGACACGGCCCAAACUCCUACGGGAGGCAGCAGUAGGGAAUCUUCGGCAAUGGACGAAAGUCUGACCGAGCAACGCCGCGUGAGUGAAGAAGGUAUUCGGAUCGUAAAACUCUGUUGGUAGAGAAGAACGUUGGUGAGAGUGGAAAGCUCAUCAAGUGACGGUAACUACCCAGAAAGGGACGGCUAACUACGUG